CACACCGCCCGUCACACCAUGGGAGUUGGUUCUACCUGAAGACGGUGCGCUAACCCGCAAGGGAGGCAGCUGGCCACGGUAGGGUCAGCGACUGGGGUG
RNAcentral lists this ribosomal RNA (99 nucleotides) under uncultured bacterium. RNAcentral describes it as "partial 16S ribosomal RNA". It matches the Rfam family "Bacterial small subunit ribosomal RNA", at positions 1386 to 1482 of the family's 1533-position model. The record is from RNAcentral.